GGAAUCUUCCGCAAUGGGCGAAAGCCUGACGGAGCAACGCCGCGUGAGUGAUGAAGGUUUUCGGAUCGUAAAGCUCUGUUGCCAGGGAAGAACGUCUUGUAGAGUAACUGAUACAAGAGUGACGGUACCUGAGAAGAAAGCCCCGGCUAACUACGUGCCAGCAGCCGCGGUAAUACGUAGGGGGCAAGCGUUGUCCGGAAUUAUUGGGCGUAAAGCGCGCGCAGGCGGCUCGUUAAGUCUGGUGUUUAAUCCCGAGGCUCAACGUCGGGUCGCACUGGAAACUGGAGAGCUUGAGUGCAGAAGAGGAGAGUGGAAUUCCACGUGUAGCGGUGAAAUGCGUAGAGAUGUGGAGGAACACCAGUGGCGAAGGCGACUACCUGGCCCAUUCUUGACGCUGAGGCGCGAAAGCUAGGGGAGCGAACGGGA
This 426-nucleotide unclassified non-coding RNA is filed under the name plant metagenome. RNAcentral describes it as "partial contains 5.8S ribosomal RNA, internal transcribed spacer 2, and large subunit ribosomal RNA". It matches the Rfam family "Bacterial small subunit ribosomal RNA", at positions 358 to 777 of the family's 1533-position model. The record is from RNAcentral.